GUGGGAAGCAAGAUGAUUCCCUGGUCGGCUCCACAGGGUCUUAGUGGGAAAUGCAGGUGGAGGGACGCAGCAGCCCUGGAAGUACCGCGGCGUUGCCACGGGGAGGGCCAGACCACCCACUGCGCUGCCUCUCCCUCAGCAGGCACGCCCUCGUCGGCCUGGUUAGGAAAUCAUCUUUUGGCCUCACUGUGCCAGCCUAGUCAGCUCUCAGCUCCCUGAGUCAGGAAAAGGGGUGGAAAAGUGAACAGUCCAGCAGCGCAUGUUCUAGAACCCUCUGCAGAUGCAGCCAGGCCAGCGAGCACACGCAGGAGGCGGGCGGCCACCUUCUUGGGUGUUGAGUGGCUGCUCCUGCCUCAGGGCUGCAGAUGCAGGCUCACAGCCCCCUGGUGAGCCCCGGAGUGGCUGCAUCCAAUCUCCAGAUCCUCUGUCUUCCCAUAAAGGAGACUGAACCCGUGGUGGUUUCUAGAUCAAGAUUUUUCUCUAAGUAACUCAGGGUUAUUAUAACAUGCAACCUGUGAUCACUUUGAAAAAGCUAAUGAAAAUGCACUUAGAUUUAACUUUGUGUCACUCAAUAUUGUUAUAAAACAACAACAACAGAAAACCAAGAACGCUAAAUUUACCGUAACCACAGUAAAAUACGCAUUUGAAUAUUCUGGUAGGAGGGCAGGCAUCCCCCAGGUCCUGAUAGAUCCACUCCAGCAGUCAGGCCUGUGCUUGGGGACGCGUGGGCGGGUUGAGGAUUGAGACGGUCUCUGAUGAUGCUAAAGAAGUGUUUCCUUUCUCUUUCCCCUUUCCCCCAACAGCUGCGGAUAACCGUCUGGUCCUUGUGCACAAAAUCCGUAUCUUACAUCAAAUACCCAAAAGCUUGUCUGCAGGGAAUCACCUUCACCAGGGAUGGCCGCUACAUGGCGCUGGCAGAACGGCGCGACUGCAAAGAUUACGUGAGCAUCUUCGUCUGCAGUGAUUGGCAGCUCCUGCGGGUAAGGCGUCCCCCAGGCUGGAAUAAAGUUGUCCUGCUGAAUGCGGAGGGAUCGAGUGAAGUAGAUCCUUCUCCGGAUUCCAGGGGAUCUUUGGUAGGAUAUGGAGCAAGGUAAUGUUGUAUUAACAAAGGGCAGGUGCGCUGUGAAUCACUUCCAGUGGCACCCGGUUGUGUGUUCAGGAGACUUGGUGAAAAGGACGUAUGCCCAGGUGUUUUAAAAGUGAAUAUGCUGUCACAUUUGAGCCCUUUUCCUUGUCCUGUGCGAUGGUGUUUGCGCAUGUGUGUGCCACAUCGGGAGUGGGGGGGACGUGGAAGUUCACCUUGACUGAGGGCUGCGUUAGGCAGGGCGCCCUGCCAGGUGCCCAGGCACAGAGGGCACUGUUCCCACAGCAGACAUGUGAACACGAUUCCAGCACAAUCCAUCGUUAAGGUAGAGCAACCUCUAGAAUGCUGUCAGAGCACAGAACCCGGGAUCCAGGCAGUGCUCUGGAAGGGACUUGUCUGAGCUGGGUCUAAAGGAGUGAGCCUUGCCAGGCAAGGAAAGGUGAGGGGGGAGAGUGCACAUGAGUGCAGGUGCGGGGAGACCAAGCCGCCCUCGUGGGCUGGCCAGGCAGUGACGCUGGCACCUGUGGGGGUACAGCCCCAGCAGCAGCUCUACAGGGAUUUCAUGCAUUUCCAGGAUAGAGCUGUUGAGAUUUUGUCAAUUUCUAUAUAAGGAAAUUAAGUGCGUUAAGAACAUCAGUUAUAAAUGCAAUUAUUUAUUUAUGAAAAUAUUUUCCAAAUUUAAUGUUUCCCCCCUUCCUUUGGAAGCAUUUUGAUACGGACACCCAGGAUCUCACAGGGAUUGAGUGGGCCCCAAACGGCUGUGUGCUGGCAGUGUGGGACACCUGCUUGGAGGUAUGAAGAUGACCAGGUGACAUGUUUGCUUUCGAGAGCUUUUCCCGGAAUUUCAUGCUUUCUGAAUGCUGCAAUAUAGUUUGCUUUAUCUUAUUUCAGAUAACAUAUUGAGCUUUGUUUUAAAAGACAGGGUCUUGCUCUGUCACCCAGGCUGGAGUGCAGUGGUGUGAUCACGGCCCACUGCAGCCUCGACCUCCUGGGCUCAAGUGAUCCUCCCACCUCAGCCUCCCAAGUAGCUGGGACCACAAGCGUGCACCACCAUGCCCGGCUAAUUUUUGUAUUCUUUGUAGAGAUGGGGUUUCACCAUGUUGCCCAGACUGCUCUUGAACUUCUGUGUUCAAGUGAUCUGCCAGCUUCGGCCUCCCAAAGUGCUGGGAUUACAGGCGUGAGCCACAGUGCCCGGCCGAGUUGAACUUUUAUCAGCGAGCCAUUAGGUUGACCUCCCAAUUUCCCCUUUUUCCUCAUGCUCUCACUGCCUCUCCAGGGACUAUCUCAGUUCUAGCUGGCAGUUCCAGCUUUUCCACGGCCAUGCGGACAGUCCUGCCAGCUUUGUGCUAUCUGCACCAAUGUCACUCUGCAGCACCCGUGUCUGUGGCGUGUUCCUGGCGAAUGGGAUGUAUUCAUCAUUAACUGAAAUGUCUCGUCUGCAGUACAAGAUUCUGCUGUACUCACUGGACGGCCGGUUGUUGUCUGCGUACAGCGCUUACGAGUGGUCCCUGGGCAUCAAGUCUGUGGCCUGGAGCCCUAGCAGUCAGUUUCUGGCAGUUGGGAGCUACGAUGGAAAGGUGGGAACCAGUGCAGGGCACUCAGGAAGUCCAGCCGCCCAGCCGGCCGGGCCCUGCCUCACCUGUGCGUGGCUUCCUUCCUCAGGUGCGCAUCCUUAAUCACGUGACUUGGAAAAUGAUCACGGAGUUUGGGCAUCCUGCAACCAUUAAUAAUCCCAAGAUAGUAAGUCUGGAACACGUGUUUGUGCCUGAGCAGGCUGUUGGGGAGGGCGGUGGGAAACUGCUCCUUCACUUUGCUUUCUUGAUUGUGGUUUAUUAUUUAACUGGGCGCUUCCCUCACCGUAAACUUGCUACUGUGACAUUUCACGCGUCUGGCCCUGCCCUGGCCUUUGUUCUUCCUCCUCCACGCUGCCCAAAGGGUCUGAAGUGGGCCUCUGCCUGCCCUGUCCUCUGCUGCCGCCAUCCCAGCCCGGGUGUCUCCUUCGUGGUCUGUCUGGAUGCAGAUCCCUGUGCUGUAGAGUGGCCAGGGUCUCCUGCCCCCAAACACUGAGCAUCUGCUGUCGUGCCGGGCACUGUGCUCUGGGCUGCAGCCAGAGAAGAAGAGACAGACCCCUGCACUUGCAGAGUGCAGCUGGAGAGACAGGGAAGGGGCCGGAGAGCUGGGUGUCUCCACAGGGUGGCAGGGAGUGGCCACCAGCGAGGGAUCGCAGGCACAGAUGCUGCACCAGUGAUCAGGGAUUCGGGGAGGGAGCGUUCCGGGCCAAGGGAACAGGAAGUGCAAAGGCCCCGAGGAGUGGGCCACGCAUCCAUGUGUGCAGUGGGCACUGCGCUGGGAGCCAGCUGGGAGCCAGAGACAAAUGCUGCCCUCCUGGUGUUGACCUGUAACCGACAGAGCUGAGUGAAAGGCGGUUUGGAUUCGAUGAAGAGGGCAGUGAGUGGCUGGGGCUGCGCGUGCCAGAUCAGCCACUGCUGGGGAUGCAUCCUGGAGGGGUGUUUAAGUGAAGACCAGGAGGAGGAGCUGAGGAGCCGCGCAGUGUCUGGGCAGAAAGGGUGUUUCAGGCAGAGGGGCCUCCUGACGUGGCCAGUGGCUUGUGUGGCUGGAGGCCAGGGCAUCUGGACCGAUGAGCCAGAGCAGGGCUGGCCUCACAGGUCCUGAAGGUUUGCCUGCAAUUCCUGCAUUCUCCAAAUCCCUUCGCCACACAGCAGCAGAGCAUGCUUUAAAGGCACGAACCAGGCCAGGUGACUCCCUUACCUGGGGCUCUUCAGGGGCGCGGGGGCUGCCCGCCUUCCACUGAGCCUGGGCCGCUGUCCUUUGCUUGCCAGGCUCUCGGGCACAGAUGCCCCCACCUCGGGUCUGUGUCUGCUGCUCCCAGGGCCUCUGCUGUGUUGGUGCAAGUGUUCUCUGUAUCCCCUUAUCACGGAGGGAAGGCUGAGCCCGCUCCCUUGCUGGAUGAUGGUGGCUGCAGUGGUCUCCCGUCUAUAAUCACAGGACACACAUUUGCUGCCUGUGUCUCAAAGGGUGGGCUCCUCAGCAGGACACGAAAGAGGGUGGCUGGGUGAUCUCAGCUCUCGGGACGGCGGGGUUCGUGUUUCCGUCUCUGCCGGUGGUAGCAGGACCAGCUGUCGUGGCAGGCAUGCCUGUUGACCAUGUGCCAUCACGGGCAUUUGCCACGUCCAUCCUUGGCUUCCGGGUCCCUGUCCUGAGCCGUGCGUGGCCACCUUGUGUCUUUCAGGUGGUGUAUAAGGAGGCCGAGAAGAGCCCGCAGCUGGGACUGGGCUGCCUCUCCUUCCCACCCCACCGGGCCGGGGCCGGCCCUCUCCCGAGCUCAGAGAGUAAAUGUAAGUAGCACACGUGAUGUCAUUUGUUUUCCUUUUUUAAUGCAAGAUUCCUCGUUGUCCAGAUAAACUUCGGAUGUUCCUUAUGUUUUUAAAAAAAAACUUUUUUCCUUUCCGUGCUUCCAGCCAGCGUGCCCCUCAGCCUGUUGGCUGGAGGUUGACUGGGGUCUGAAUUGUGCAGUGGGCCGUGAAGGUGCGGCUUCUGUUCCUGAAUAUGAGCCCUGGAGAUCCGGAUCUGACAGCGGGAUCUCCUAGGGGAUGUUUUUCCUGAGCUCCGAGGAUGAUGUUUUUCAAAGAAACACUUUUCUGUGGGUGGCGCUCAGAGUGGGUCUGGAGGCCGGCGGUGCUCCCGAGUGCUGUCUCCGGCUUGAGGCCUGGUUCUGAUGCAGCCUCUUGACUCUGGGCGUUUCCUAUGUGUCUGUUUUCUCAUCGCUGAAAUGGGCAUAGUAAAAGCACCCACCCCACAGGGGCACGAGGGCAUCUGAAGGUUGCAGGUAGAGGAAGCGGUGCCCCGAGUGCCGACGGGCCCACCCCGGGGCUCGGUGUGUGGCUCAGGAUGCGGGUCAGGACAGGUGCAGCCUGGCACACAGGAGGCGCUCCCCAGGAGCCCGGGGGCGUCCUUGUUCCACAGCCCCUGCUUCUGCUGUGAUGAUGGUUCUUCCACAGCCAGAAAGUCUAAGGGUACUGAUGCUGAGGUGGAAGGGAUUGUGAACUCAGAUGCUGGUAGUCGACAGAAAAGUGCCGAGGAGUUGGAGCUGCUGAGAUUGCAGCUAGGACCUGUCCAUGUCCCUCUCCAGUCAGCCCCUGGCACGUGGGGUCCACCCCCCACCUAGUCGGGCCUGGCAGGUGAUGGUGCCACUCUCAUCCGGGGCAUUUGCGGGCAGGCCCCUUGCUGCAGCUGCCAGGCUUUGCUCAGCUCUUCCUGCCCUUGGGCCGCACUUUCCUCCCCUUUGAACAGAGAAGCUGGGUUCGCGACGCCCGACGCAGGCACAGCAGCCUCUCAGCUGCGUGCGUACUUCCCGAAAGGGUGACAGUGGCGUGUUCUUCCUGUUGGUGUUCUAGAUGAGAUCGCCUCUGUCCCAGUCUCCUUACAGACGCUGAAACCUGUUACCGACAGAGCAAACCCGAAAAUCGGCAUAGGAAUGCUGGCAUUUAGUCCUGACAGCUACUUCCUGGCGACAAGGAACGGUCAGUUGUGCUGACGCAGGUGUUGUCUCACCCCUUACUGUGUCCUAUGGCCCCAGGUGUAGAAGUGACUAGAAAAGAAAAUCAAGUUGGGGGUUUCCUACACAUCACCUCCUUUCAUGUUUCUGCAGUAGCCGAGGUGCUCACAGAAGCUCCUUGGAGGCGCUGGGCCUCUUGUCCUGCAGCAGCCGCAGGCCCGCACAUGAGUCAGGAGGCCUCCACCCCACUCACUUGCUCCGCUCUGCUGAGUAGAAAGCAGGGCUGGGCACACUGCAGCCCGUCUUUUGUUAAGGGUUUCUCCAUUUGUAAAGGGCUAAAAAAAA
This 5945-nucleotide small RNA is filed under the name Pongo abelii (Sumatran orangutan). Its description in RNAcentral is "retained intron". Lineage: Eukaryota; Metazoa; Chordata; Mammalia; Primates; Hominidae. The record is from RNAcentral.